UGUGUGUUAGUGGAAGCGUCUGGAAAGGCGCGCGAUACAGGGUGACAGCCCCGUACACAAAAAUGCACAUGCUGUGAGCUCGAUGAGUAGGGCGGGACACGUGGUAUCCUGUCUGAAUAUGGGGGGACCAUCCUCCAAGGCUAAAUACUCCUGACUGACCGAUAGUGAACCAGUACCGUGAGGGAAAGGCGAAAAGAACCCCGGCGAGGGGAGUGAAAAAGAACCUGAAACCGUGUACGUACAAGCAGUGGGAGCACGCUUAGGCGUGUGACUGCGUACCUUUUGUAUAAUGGGUCAGCGACUUAUAUUCUGUAGCAAGGUUAACCGAAUAGGGGAGCCGAAGGGAAACCGAGUCUUAACUGGGCGUUAAGUUGCAGGGUAUAGACCCGAAACCCGGUGAUCUAGCCAUGGGCAGGUUGAAGGUUGGGUAACACUAACUGGAGGACCGAACCGACUAAUGUUGAAAAAUUAGCGGAUGACUUGUGGCUGGGGGUGAAAGGCCAAUCAAACCGGGAGAUAGCUGGUUCUCCCCGAAAGCUAUUUAGGUAGCGCCUCGUGAAUUCAUCUCCGGGGGUAGAGCACUGUUUCGGCAAGGGGGUCAUCCCGACUUACCAACCCGAUGCAAACUGCGAAUACCGGAGAAUGUUAUCACGGGAGACACACGGCGGGUGCUAACGUCCGUCGUGAAGAGGGAAACAACCCAGACCGCCAGCUAAGGUCCCAAAGUCAUGGUUAAGUGGGAAACGAUGUGGGAAGGCCCAGACAGCCAGGAUGUUGGCUUAGAAGCAGCCAUCAUUUAAAGAAAGCGUAAUAGCUCACUGGUCGAGUCGGCCUGCGCGGAAGAUGUAACGGGGCUAAACCAUGCACCGAAGCUGCGGCAGCGACGCUUAUGCGUUGUUGGGUAGGGGAGCGUUCUGUAAGCCUGCGAAGGUGUGCUGUGAGGCAUGCUGGAGGUAUCAGAAGUGCGAAUGCUGACAUAAGUAACGAUAAAGCGGGUGAAAAGCCCGCUCGCCGGAAGACCAAGGGUUCCUGUCCAACGUUAAUCGGGGCAGGGUGAGUCGACCCCUAAGGCGAGGCCGAAAGGCGUAGUCGAUGGGAAACAGGUCAAUAUUCCUGUACUUGGUGUUACUGCGAAGGGGGGACGGAGAAGGCUAUGUUGGCCGGGCGACGGUUGUCCCGGUUUAAGCGUGUAGGCUGGUUUUCCAGGCAAAUCCGGAAAAUCAAGGCUGAGGCGUGAUGACGAGGCACUACGGUGCUGAAGCAACAAAUGCCCUGCUUCCAGGAAAAGCCUCUAAGCAUCAGGUAACAUCAAAUCGUACCC
This 1321-nucleotide ribosomal RNA is filed under the name Escherichia coli. RNAcentral's name for it is "partial 23S ribosomal RNA". It matches the Rfam family "Bacterial large subunit ribosomal RNA", at positions 323 to 1649 of the family's 2925-position model. The record is from RNAcentral. Lineage: Bacteria; Pseudomonadati; Pseudomonadota; Gammaproteobacteria; Enterobacterales; Enterobacteriaceae.